UUAAGUUAAUAAGGGCGCACGGUGGAUGCCUUGGCACUAGAAGCCGAUGAAGGACGUGACUAACGACGAAAUGCUUUGGGGAGCUGUAAGUGAGCAAUGAUCCAGAGAUGUCCGAAUGGGGGAACCCGGCAGGUAAUGCCUGUCACUCAUUACUGUUAAGGUAAUGUAGAGGAAGACGCAGUGAACUGAAACAUCUAAGUAGCUGUAGGAAGAGAAAGCAAAAGCGAUUGCCUUAGUAGCGGCGAGCGAAACGGCAAGAGGGCAAACCGAAGAGUUUACUCUUCGGGGUUGUAGGACUGCAACGUGGACUUAAAGAUUAUAGAAGAACUACCUGGGAAGGUAGGCCAAAGAGAGUAAUAGCCUCGUAUUCGAAAUAGUCUUUAUACCUAGCAGUAUCCUGAGUACGGCGAGACACGAGAAAUCUCGUCGGAAUCUGGGAGGACCAUCUCCCAACCCUAAAUACUCUCUAGUGACCGAUAGUGAACCAGUACCGUGAGGGAAAGGUGAAAAGCACCCCGGGAGGGGAGUGAAAUAGAACCUGAAACCGUGUGCCUACAACAAGUUCGAGCCCGUUAAUGGGUGAGAGCGUGCCUUUUGUAGAAUGAACCGGCGAGUUACGAUAUGAUGCGAGGUUAAGUUGAAGAGACGGAGCCGUAGGGAAACCGAGUCUUAAUAGGGCGCAUUAGUAUCAUGUCGUAGACCCGAAACCAUGUGACCUACCCAUGAGCAGGUUGAAGGUGAGGUAAAACUCACUGGAGGACCGAACCAGGGCACGUUGAAAAGUGCUUGGAUGACUUGUGGGUAGAGGAGAAAUUCCAAACGAACUUGGAGAUAGCUGGUUCUCUCCGAAAUAGCUUUAGGGCUAGCGUCGAUGUUAAGUCUCUUGGAGGUAGAGCACUGUUUGGGUGAGGGGUCCAUCCCGGAUUACCAAUCUCAGAUAAACUCCGAAUGCCAAUGAGAUAUAAUCGGCAGUCAGACUGCGAGUGCUAAGAUCCGUAGUCGAAAGGGAAACAGCCCAGACCACCAGCUAAGGUCCCAAAAUAUAUGUUAAGUGGAAAAGGAUGUGGGGUUGCACAGACAACUAGGAUGUUAGCUUAGAAGCAGCUAUUCAUUCAAAGAGUGCGUAAUAGCUCACUAGUCGAGUGACCCUGCGCCGAAAAUGUACCGGGGCUAAAACAUAUUACCGAAGCUGUGGAUACCUUUAUAGGUAUGGUAGGAGAGCGUUCUAUGUGCGAAGAAGGUGUACCGUGAGGAGUGCUGGAGCGCAUAGAAGUGAGAAUGCCGGUAUGAGUAGCGAAAGACAGGUGAGAAUCCUGUCCACCGUAAGACUAAGGUUUCCAGGGGAAGGCUCGUCCGCCCUGGGUUAGUCGGGACCUAAGGAGAGACCGAAAGGUGUAUCCGAUGGACAACAGGUUGAUAUUCCUGUACUAGAGUAUAUAGUGAUGGAGGGACGCAGUAGGCUAACUAAACCAGACGAUUGGAAGUGUCUGGCCAAGCAGUGAGGUGUGAUAUGAGUCAAAUGCUUAUAUCUUUAACAUUGAGCUGUGAUGGGGAGCGAAGUUUAGUAGCGAAGUUAGUGAUGUCACACUGCCGAGAAAAGCUUCUAGCGUUAAUUAUACUCUACCCGUACCGCAAACCGACACAGGUAGUCGAGGCGAGUAGCCUCAGGUGAGCGAGAGAACUCUCGUUAAGGAACUCGGCAAAAUGGCCCCGUAACUUCGGGAGAAGGGGCGCUGACUGAUGGUCAGCCGCAGUGAAUAGGCCCAAGCAACUGUUUAUCAAAAACACAGCUCUCUGCUAAAUCGUAAGAUGAUGUAUAGGGGGUGACGCCUGCCCGGUGCUGGAAGGUUAAGAGGAGUGCUUAGCGUAAGCGAAGGCAUGAAUUGAAGCCCCAGUAAACGGCGGCCGUAACUAUAACGGUCCUAAGGUAGCGAAAUUCCUUGUCGGGUAAGUUCCGACCCGCACGAAAGGCGUAAUGAUUUGGGCACUGUCUCAACGAGAGACUCGGUGAAAUUUUAGUACCUGUGAAGAUGCAGGUUACCCGCGACAGGACGGAAAGACCCCAUGGAGCUUUACUGCAGUUUGAUAUUGAGUAUCUGUACCACAUGUACAGGAUAGGUAGGAGCCUAUGACCUCGGGACGCCAGUUUCGAGUGAGGCGUUGUUGGGAUACUACCCUUGUGUUAUGGCUACUCUAACCCAGAUAGGUUAUCCCUAUCGGAGACAGUGUCUGACGGGCAGUUUGACUGGGGCGGUCGCCUCCUAAAAGGUAACGGAGGCGCCCAAAGGUUCCCUCAGAAUGGUUGGAAAUCAUUCGCAGAGUGUAAAGGUAUAAGGGAGCUUGACUGCGAGAGUUACAACUCGAGCAGGGACGAAAGUCGGGCUUAGUGAUCCGGUGGUUCCGUAUGGAAGGGCCAUCGCUCAACGGAUAAAAGCUACCCUGGGGAUAACAGGCUUAUCUCCCCCAAGAGUUCACAUCGACGGGGAGGUUUGGCACCUCGAUGUCGGCUCGUCGCAUCCUGGGGCUGUAGUCGGUCCCAAGGGUUGGGCUGUUCGCCCAUUAAAGCGGCACGCGAGCUGGGUUCAGAACGUCGUGAGACAGUUCGGUCCCUAUCCGUCGCGGGCGUAGGAAAUUUGAGAGGAUCUGCUCCUAGUACGAGAGGACCAGAGUGGACUUACCGCUGGUGUACCAGUUGUUCUGCCAAGAGCAUCGCUGGGUAGCUAUGUAGGGAAGGGAUAAACGCUGAAAGCAUCUAAGUGUGAAGCCCACCUCAAGAUGAGAUUUCCCAUGAUUUUAUAUCAGUAAGAGCCCUGAGAGAUGAUCAGGUUGAUAGGUUAGAAGUGGAAGUGUGGUGACACAUGUAGCGGACUAAUACUAAUAGCUCGAGGACUUAUCCAA
RNAcentral lists this ribosomal RNA (2898 nucleotides) under Streptococcus thermophilus. RNAcentral's name for it is "ribosomal RNA 23s ribosomal RNA". It matches the Rfam family "Bacterial large subunit ribosomal RNA". The record is from RNAcentral. Lineage: Bacteria; Bacillati; Bacillota; Bacilli; Lactobacillales; Streptococcaceae.